CGCUUGCUGAAGCCUAUGCGGCCCCGCAAGGGGUGCCCCCACGACUAUAAAGAACGGGGGGCCUAGCGCAAGUCUGCCCUACAAGGGAGGCAACAUGACCGAAUUGCGGGGAUCCUUAAAGCCUAACGGUACCAACCGUCCGCGGAAACGUGGGCGGGGCCGGUGUUAACCCCACCGGAGGUUAGAACCCGUUAGGAUAGACAAUAGGUGAUCCGCAGCGAACCCCUACCGCUGAUCGCUAUGGGGUGCGUCCACAGACUAAGUGGUUAUGGGCCGUGCUUAUCGCAUGGUUUAAGAUAAAGUCGGGUCUCUUGGGUAACCAAGGGUCUAUAACUGUUCCGUAGGUGAACCUGCGGAAGGAUCAUUA
Molecule: ribosomal RNA, 367 nt
Filed under: Dicephalospora chrysotricha
Lineage: Eukaryota; Fungi; Ascomycota; Leotiomycetes; Helotiales; Helotiaceae
Description: partial 18S ribosomal RNA
Rfam family: Group I catalytic intron (bases 55-326)
About the family: Group I catalytic introns are large self-splicing ribozymes.
Source: RNAcentral